CGGUUACAUUGUAACAAGUUUAAUACAGGGUCCUUAUGUUUUAAACUUACAUCAGACCCGUACGUUUGCACUAUAGAACAAAGCAUUAGAAAUGAUACGUCGAAUAACAUCGCUCUGGUUGCGGCAGUCUUUGGUGGUACAGUUAAUACCUGAUACAACAUGCUCAGCAAUGCCUCGUGGAUCUUUGUGUAAUCGGCGUUGAGCGUCUUCAAUAUUCCAGAUAAUGUAGGCUCGGCUCGCACGAUUACUUUUGGAAUAGAGGUCGUCAACGUAGAAGAUUCUAAUUUUUGCAAAGUUGCUGUAACACCCUCUCUGAAAUAAUGUUGACACAAGAAAUGAGUGAUAUAUGUUUAUCCAUUAGUUCGGUUGGUUGUGGAGUCAGUGGACUGUUCUGAGGCAUUUUUGUUAAAGUAUGCAAAUAACAUUGUAACAACCAAUGUACAAUAGAUAACACUGCAGCUGCCAAAAGAUCUUCUUCUGAUUUACCACGACAAGUUAUACCUAUUUGUAUAGACUCCAAGAAUUCUAGUAAACUUAAGAUACAGUGGGGCUUAUGAAAGGCAUCGUAUUUGCUUAUCCGUUGCAAUACAGCAGCAUAGGAGACCAACUGUAAUUAGAUUUAUACUUGUAAAUACUGCAUCAACAGCAAACAGCUAACAAUUAUACAUACCUGAGAACUCAAAGAAUGUUUCAGGUAAGAGAGCACUAACUGAUUAGGACCUAAUCCUACUAAUGCCUGUUGCAAUAUACAGUCUGCUAAAUUAUAUACAUCUCCACUAACACCUCUUGGUAAAAUCUAAUGGUAAUGUAUAAAUAAUUAUUUUCAAGUAUAUAUACAAGGUUUUCCAAAAGGAACUUUAUCCACUCCAAAAGUACUACUUACUGUUUUUAUAUUAAUACCCCAUUGUAAAUCACUCCAGCGUUCUCUCCAUGCUCGUAACAAAAGAGCUUUCAAACUACUGGUUUUACUUGUUACUUUAGUCUCCAUAGUUGAUGUUAAAAGAUUACACAUAAUUUUUCCUACAUAAGUAAUGUCUGUAACAUUACAAACUAUCGUAAUUAUAAAUAAUACAGAACAAAUAUUAUGAUCUAGAUUACUCGAUAUGCAAUUAAAUAAAAUUUACUGUACAAAAUACACAAAUUACUUUUCAGUAAUUAAACUAGGUAUACAUUCAACAACAUUUAAUAUCGG
Molecule: long non-coding RNA, 1192 nt
Organism: Hylaeus anthracinus
Lineage: Eukaryota; Metazoa; Arthropoda; Insecta; Hymenoptera; Colletidae
Exons: 3
Source: RefSeq, a predicted model, not a curated record